This is a non-coding RNA of Equus caballus (horse), 7246 nucleotides long. The record is from RefSeq and is a predicted model, not a curated record. Lineage: Eukaryota; Metazoa; Chordata; Mammalia; Perissodactyla; Equidae.
GGCCCUGACUGAGGACAGAUUAGACCCAGCCGUGAACGAAACCCACUGGAUGGAGGGGCAAUGUAAUUCGUUUAACCCCUCCUGCCUCAGUUUCCCCAUGCAAAAUUAGAGGACAAGAAUGGUCCUUGAUUUGGUCUGGACUCAGACCUGCCUCUGCCCUUCCAGCUGUGGUCCUCACGCCAGCCCCUUCCUGCUCUGAGCCUCACGGCCUCACCACGUUCUGAGCAGCAAGUGAGAAGAUGUAAACAAAGGGCACAUGGAAGCCACAGGCAAAGGGCCCUGUGGAGGUGAGUGGUUAUUCUUUCCAGAAUCUAGUUUUACUUGACUGAGACGCGUUCUCCAGGCGCCGUGACAUUUUUGGCAGCACAGUUUAGUGGUUCAGGAGUGUGGCUCUGGAGCCAGACAGCAUGUUGAAUCUUGCUCUGCUAGUCACCAGCAGCAGCAUCUCGGCAAGUAGCUCACACUGUGUGUUCCCCAGUGUCCUCGCCCGUAAAAUGGGUCAGUAAUAGAAGCGUCUCGGGGGUCACUGUGAGGAUUCAAUGAGUCAAUACACAUAAAGGCUUCAAGCUGUUCCUGGUAAUAAUGCCUGCCCUCAGAAGAUGCUAGAGUGUGACUCUCGUGGUGGGGUGGGGAGGAGGGGAACAGUGACCAGGGAGGCAUCCAGGGUGCUGAGAAUAAGCUGUUUCCUGAUCUGGGUGCUAGUUUCACAGGUGUGUUCAGUGUGUGACAACUCAUCAAGCUGAGUGCUAAGAUAUGGGCACUUUCUCUGUGUCACAGCCCCAGAAAGGCGUCUUCUUUUUCAGUAGUGACUCAGAAUUAGCAAAAUUCCUGGGAAAACUCCAGACUUUCAAAGGCUGUGAAAUUGGUGGGCUCUAAGGCAGAUCUUUAAGGGAAAUAUCAGGUAAUGCUACCCAGGUAAUGUAGGUAGAAUAAAUAGAAAGGUAGAAUAAAUAGAAAAUCACACUGAGGUCUAGAUGUGAUAUGGUGAGCAGACAGGGCUGGCAACAGGAAGGUCCAGAGAAGGGGGAGGGAUCCAGAUGCCCAGGAGGGUGGUUAGACCUCUUAGUCUGGGUUAUUGGGGUGGGGCUGUGGGUCCCCCUCCCCCACCCUCAAGAACUCUUUGUCACUGCUCCAUGCUCUGUGAUGCAGGCCUGGAACAUUCUAGAAUACAGCACACAUCUCAGUGCCCUGUUGUCUGAGGCAGUAGUGAGCUUCAGGCCUCAGAUGAUGGACACCUAUCUCCUUUCUGAGGAGAGUGAGUGAGCCACGGGUCAUCAAUUCCAUCAUUUACUUCCUGUGUGUGGCUAGGCUCCUCCUUCUGUCAUCCUUCUUCCAAAAGGGAGCCAUUUGCUACCAGUCUUCAGAAUAAAGGAGACAUCAACCAGAGCUUGGAGUUCUCCGUGGACACCGAGCCCAUGUAGUAAAGGUAGGAGGGCUCCCGGCGUGGUGUAUAACUCUGCCAUGGUAUAAAGCACUUUCCUUGUUCACUUCAGUCUUCAGAAGCGAAGAUUCUAGUAGGGCUGCCUCCCUUCAGUUUCUUACACUCUCACCACCAUAUUGAGGGAAUCUAAAAACUUAUAUCCCAUGCCUUUUCUGGGAAAGUUACUACAGAUGUGCUUCAGAAAAAUGAUGAAGAAAAUGAAGAGAAGAGCCUCGAGGACUGUGAGGAAACAAAUUUCUGGUGUUUAAGCGGCCCAGUCUGUGACACUUUGUUACGGCGGCCCGAGCAGACUAACACAACUGGGAAAGAGGUCACAGGUACAAGGGUAGAGGAGAUUGGAGGAGUGAGAACACAGCAGGGGACAAGACCAGAGUAAGAGACUGAUGACGGGGCUAAUGCAAAAUGAAGUGACCAGGUUUAAGGACCUGAAGGAAAGCAGCAACGAUGGUGACGGAGAGAAAGAGACGGAUGUGAGAGACACUGUCAACAAAUCAAAUGGGAUGUGUAAGAGGGUGGAUGUAUUGAAUGAGCAUGAUGGUUGGGACACAGAGGAGUCCCGUUACAUCAAGAGAUGGAUAACAGUCAGUGCACAAGUAGAGCUUGGACUUCCCCAAGAGGCUGGAGAGCAGAGCAGUCCCAGAAAUAACUUGGUACCCUGCUCGGCACCACCAGAGUUGGGAGUCCUCAGCUGCAGACAGGCAUGAAGCCUCAGACCUACAAUGCUUGAUGCUUCAUCAGGUGAGGACACUGGGGAACACACAGUGUGAGCUACUUGCCGAGAUGCUGCUGCUGGUGACUAGCAGAGCGAGAUUCAACAUGCUGUCUGGCUCCAGAGCCACACUCCUGAACCACUAAACUGUGCUGCCAAAAAUGUCACGGCGCCUGGAGAACGCGUCUCAGUCAAGUAAAACUAGAUUCUGGAAGAAUAACCACUCACCUCCACAGGGCCCUUUGCCUGUGGCUUCCAUGUGCCCUUUGUUUACAUCUUCUCACUUGCUGCUCAGAACGUGGUGAGGCCGUGAGGCUCAGAGCGGGAAGGGGCUGGCGUGAGGACCACAGCUGGAAGGGCAGAGGCAGGUCUGAGUCCAGACCAAAUCAAGGACCAUUCUUGUCCUCUAAUUUUGCAUGGGGAAACUGAGGCAGGAGGGGUUAAACGAAUUCCAUUGCCCCUCCUUCCAGUGGGUUUCGUUCACGGCUGGGUCUAAUUUGUCCUCAGUCAGGGCCUGUGUCUGGACUGAAUGAUCAGAGGCCACUCAACUCUUUAGACUCUUUGGUGAAGUGUGGGACCUUGGUUGCCCUUGUGCUGGUGACAGGAGGUUACCAGGGACCCAGGAACCCAGGCAGGUGCAGGAGGAGGAAGAAAGGACAACAGGGAGAUGUGUGCAGCACAGGGUGAGCAAGGCAGAGGCCUCUGUGCAUUUGCCGCCCGGUAGGGGAUGACCUGUCAGCCCCUGACCUUCAGGGACAGCCCACAACGGCCUUGGCAUCAAGGUGUCAGUUGGACUGCGCCCCAUUCUGGUAUUCAGGGUCCUCUUCCAAGCUCAAGUGGUGGCUGGUGGCAGAAUUCAGUUCCUUGGGAGACCAGAAUUGAGGGCCCUAUUUUCUUGCUGGCUAUUAGCCAGAGACUAGAGGUCACCUUCAGAUCCUUACCACAGGCCUCUCCAUAGGCCCUCUCACAAUAUAUCAAUUUUCAUUUCAAGACCAGUAGAAGAAAUUUAUUUCAGUUUUUGAACUUGUUCCUUCAGGGAGGGCCCAGCCCCUUUUAAGGACUCAAGUGAUUCUGUCAGGCCCACCCAAAUAAUCUUUUGAUCAAAUUAGUGACCUUAACUACAUCUGGCAAAUCCUUUCUCCUUAUAACAUAAUCAUGGAAGUGAUAUCCCAUCAUAUUCAUGAGUCCCUCUCACACUCACAGGGAGGGAAUUAUAUAGAACAUGUACCCCAGGGAGUCAGGAAUCUGGGUAACAUGUUAGAAUUCUGCUUAUCACAUCAGAUGAUGCUAUCGAUUCUGGUCCAGGGACCUCAUUUGAGAACCACUACUUUAACAGAGCUACUAAAUAAAUAUGAACAUUUAUGUGACUGUGAAAUCAGUGAGUACAGAAAAGCAAUGAUUAUAUAUAUCUGGAUGAAGAUUUCUAAUCAAAGUGGCAGAAUUCCAGUGGAAAUGCACUCACUACACUGAAUACCUAUUGAUACUAGAUACAAUUCUUUUAAUUAUGAAGUUAUAUUUAAAUUCAAAAAAAGAUAAAGAGGACAAGAAAUUGAACAUAAAUAUGCAGUGGUGAGUAGGGGCUAAAAUCUUUGGCUACUGGACUCUGGGGUUAUAGGCAUAGGGAAUUGAGUUUAGCUUCUCUGGGGAACCAUCUAAUUUGAGCCCUUAGCAUUUGAAACUGUUGACCAUGCCCUCUCAGUUCCAUUACACAUUUCCGUAAAUGUAAGUGGCACCAGUGCUUUCUGGUUUCCCUCCAGCCACUCUACACACUCUUCUCAAUCUCCUUUACAUGCCCUUCUUCCUCUACUGUCAGGUUGUUGCUCAGGGCUCUAUUUUGCAUCUUCUUCUCUUCUCAAGUGACAUGCUCUCCUGGAGUACUCCAACAAAACCCAUGGCUUCAAAGACCAUCCCCGCAUUGAGACUUCUUAGUCUUUAUCCCCAACCCACGUCUCUUUUCCUGAAGAGCAGACCCAUAUAUCCAACAUUUCUAAAACAGCAUUAUCUCCCAGCCAUUCAAACUUAUGUUCAAAUUUGAACUUAUCCCCUUUCUGCCCACCCCCAUCCCACUCCAAAAAUGCUUCUCCUCCCAUAUUUCUCUCUUAGUAAACGGCACUAUCAUCCACCAAGAUGUUUCAAGCAAAUCUGGAAUUCUUCUUUGACCCAUACCUCCCCCUCACCCCCCACAUCUAGUCAAUCAUCACCAACUGUCAAUUCCACCCCCCAAAUAACCCCUCCGUCCAUCCACUUCUCUCAAUUUCCAUAGCCACUAUCAUAGUUCAGUCCAUCAUCUUCUCUUGUCUACAUCAUGGAAAUGGUUUCCUAACUAAUGUCUCUGCUUCUAUUGUUAUUUUCUUCCAACCCAUGCUCCACUUCUUAGCCAGAGGGAUUCUACUAAAAUUCCAAUCGCAUCAUAUCACUCCUCUAGUAACAGCCUCACUGGCUUCCCAUUGGUCCUUAUGGUAAAAUUCCAUACUAUGCCUUCAAAAUUCUCUGCUACCUGGCCCCACCCUAGCUCUCCAGUUCCAGUCUUGCCAAUCCUCACCCCACCCUCUAUAAUGCAGCCAUACUGUACUGUAGUUCAUUCUUCCCAUACCCUACUCUCUUCCCUUGUUUAACUCCUACUCAACCGUCAGGUCUUGGUUUACAUAUCCUAUCUUCCAGACAACUUUCCUGACCUCCUAGACAAGGCUGGGACAUGACCAAAUAUAUCAUAGUAUCCUCAACUUCCCCAUAAUAAUAUUUAUCCUACAUCAUUGUGGGUGCUGAAAGCUCCUUGAACAAAAACACAGUGAUGACCAUCAUCUGGUCCUCCUCUGUGUCCUCAGUGCAGCCACUGAAGCAGUGGGUAAACUAUGUCCUUCCAGAAGUGAUAAGUGGCUAAGUGCCUAGAGGCAGUUCCUUGCUAGAUCUACCAUGAAGGGUGGCACAAGUACUGAAUUCCCUCAGGAACAGAGACAUAGUCACUAGGACUCCAGCAAACAGAGAGGUUUUUCCCUGAAUGAAAUAUGAUUUUAAUUUGUACAAUAUACACAUUUAUAAUAAUAAUAGCUGCAUGAGACAUGCAAUAAUAAGUCCCUAAUGCUAACCUGGGGCAAAAUAUCUAAUAUGAAUUAAAUUGGCUCUGUUCCUAGGAAUUUUAGCAUAUUGCAUUGUGGAGUUUUAGCUAAAAUUGUGCAGAGCAUAGCUGAUUAAUAUUCUAAUUAAAAUCAGAAUAGGACAAUAGGAAAUUGUUGGUUUUCCCCAGUAGUGAAUAAAUAAAUACCUUCCCAAUAAAAGUAGGCUUCCAAUAGACAUUUGGCUGCCCUAGGCUCCAUCUUCUGAGAGAAUCACAUAGCAGGCCUACCUAGAAGGUUGUGUGGCCUUGAAAUGCUAAUGUCUCCAAAAUCUACCCCAUGAAUACCCUCUUGUCUAUGGUGGCAUUUUGGGCCUUUGGAGGAAUCCUAGAUAAGUGCAAUCAUUUUCUUCUCUGUUUUACCUUAACAUAGAGAAACGGUCUCAUUCACAAUUUUGCAGGAGCAGCUCGCUAUACAAUAUGAAUCUGCCUUUGGCCUUAGAUGGUGGAAACAAAUGUGGACAUUUGUACCAAACUAGGUCAGUCCAAAGUAUAUGAACAUAGGGAGCUGAGCUGGAAGGCCAAGUGGGCUUGGGGUCUGAAGGAACUCCUUGGGGGCAGCCAUGAUGGCUCACCAUGAGCCCCAGUGAAUGAGCAGAAAUGGAAGUCUGCACGGGCUACAAGUCUGUGGGGCUACAAAUGCAGCAGUCCCCCUAGCAGAGAUAGGAAACCAUGAGCGCUCAAAUGGCAGAGCAAAAUCAGAGUGCAUGAAAUUUCCCAGAGUGCUUAAAACAAACCCUCCUUUUCUUAAGCUAGCUUGAGCACUUUUCUGCUCUUUGCUAGACAGCAACUCCUGAGAUAAAGGGAAGUAGUGACAUAGGUCGCACGAUUUCCUGCCCAGGUUCUUAACUUCCUUCCUGGUUAAGAACUGUCCCAGUGCCUUGGAUGAGGACCGAGAUGAUGUUGUGAGGAAAACUAUGGGGAAUAUGAAGCUGGGCACAGCAGCAGCAAUAGUAAGGUGAAAGAACCAGCACCCAGAAGAACCCCAAUAACUGGAAAUAUGGUAAAUCUAACAAGAAAAAGGUCAAUACGGGUGAAGGUAAAGACCUCCAUUUGGACUAGGAAAAAAAUUAACCAGACAGCUCAGGAUGAAUAGUGGAAGUAAGAACUGAUGCAACAGUGAUGCAUGUUGAAAUGACUGAGGGGGUUAGUUGAAAACAUGUCUGAUACAUCCAUGCUCAUGAACUCAGCAACUACUCUACGUGCUUACCACAUGCCAGGCUUUCUGCUAGGAGCUAUACAACCAUGCAUCAGAAUUUUUACUAUGGCCUUUCUAAUAUCUAAUAAACAUAGAAGGCCUCAUUUUCAACAAAGUGGCUAAGAGAAAAGAGGGGGUUAUAAAGAGUUCCAAACUCACCAGAUUCAGCCCUUGCCCCCUUUAAAUUUGUCCGAUCCAUGUCCCUUUCACAGUUAUAAUGAGCAUCAGCUCCUGCUUCUUCUGGGGCUUCCCUUUUAUCCUUUCAAUAGAUGUCUUAGUUUGGAUUCUCCUAAAAGCAGAUCCUCAGACAAAGAUUUGAGUGCAAGUAGCUGAUUUGGGAGGUAAUCCGGGAAACAGAGUGAGGGAGUGAGAUAGGGAAGGAAGGCAGCCAACAAUGUUACCAAACCAGUUACUGCUGGAAUAGGCGGAGCUCAGGCUUGGCGGGACCUCAGGAAGCCAGCAUAGGAUAUAACGCCAGAGUUAUUCUUACAAAGGAGUGGGAAUCUGGGGUGUUUAUACACCGACUCUUAUCAAGGAUUGGUUGAGGGCUGCUUCCAGGACGUGGGGUUUCUGGCUUGCCUUGCAUGUAGGCUGUGUGCUCCCAGGGCCGGAUAAAUAGCCCUCAGGCAGAGAUUCACAAACGUCACAGUAGCAGCCUUUGUCUUAGAGAGGCAAAUUCUGAGGGGAUGGGCUGGGACACUAAUAACUACAAAACUCAAGGGGCCAGCCCAGUGGCUCAGUGGUUAAGUGCUCAUGAUCCACUUUGGCGGCCUGGGGUCCGCCAGU